Long non-coding RNA from Lepidothrix coronata (blue-crowned manakin), 340 nucleotides. RefSeq lists it as uncharacterized. The transcript has 3 exons. NCBI's taxonomy places the organism in Eukaryota, Metazoa, Chordata, Aves, Passeriformes, Pipridae. The record is from RefSeq and is a predicted model, not a curated record.
AUGAACAUCGUGGAGAGCAUGGGCAGGCCGAUGAACACACCUUAAAACAAGUGGCUUCCCUCAGAUGAAUGAAGGGACACACUGUUUGCAAGCCUCAUAGUGCUGAGAGGAAGCUUUUAACCUGAGACUUAUAAUCAUGUGCUGUAGUGUCAGCCUCGGGAAACAUGAAAUGCAACACUUAAGCCUCAGUUAUAAAUAGAUGCUGUUUGGCUGCUUUCUGGAAAAGUGCCUUCCUUCCCAGGGGUGGAGGAGCUGGUUCAGUCUUGCAUUUGUCUUUGGUGAGUGUGGGCAACUGGGCCAGUGGCACCGCUCCCACAAAUUGCCCAGCAGGAACCAUGCA